Molecule: long non-coding RNA, 1179 nt
Filed under: Equus caballus (horse)
Lineage: Eukaryota; Metazoa; Chordata; Mammalia; Perissodactyla; Equidae
Description: lncRNA (ENSECAG00000058531.1)
Source: RNAcentral
GCCCAGGGGACGGGGCCCCGGGCAGCCCCCGCAUCGCUGCACUCGCGCUCCGCGCCUCAGGGCACACGCCCUAAAGCCCGGCCAGCUGGCCCUCUUCGGGGCCCAAAGAGAGCGGCAGGGCGGCCUUCCAGUCCGCUCGCUCUAGUCUUACUCCCGCCAUCUAAGAUGGCCGCCCAGCGCCCGCGGUGAAGAGACUCUCAGGCGGCCAAGGCAGGCGAGCGCUCCACUCGGUGCUCCUCCUCCUUACUUUAAAUCUAAUCUGUUUUUAUUAUUCCAGUUUCUUAAGCUCAGCAACAAAGAAGCACCAUGUUAGAUCCUGGGGAUUUAAAGUGCUUCACUAAAAGUGAAUGAAAAUCAGCAGUUACUGUAUAGCUGUCCAGAAUUAAGCUGCACCACCCAUUUUCUAUGAACACGUUUUUCCCUCUCAACUAUAGGACUCUGUGGUGAUUAUUAACACAGCAACCAACAGGUGGCGCUGCAGCUCUGUGCAACUCAACUCUACAGUCAACGACUUUUCUGCUUUUUUUACGAUGGAGUAGCAAAGAGCUAGAAAUGCUGCGUGCCCUCCAGGAAACCAUGACUAUUAAAUAGCAGAUCCCAAAUUAUAAUUGAGGUCUGGCUCAAGUUCACACUGUCUCUGGAGAACAUUAGUUCAUUCAGAGUAAAUUCUGGACUCAAGCAAAUCCCCAAGCCUCAGUUUCCCCGCUCAUUGAAAGCAAUCAAUCUAUCCAUCAUCUAUCUAUCAUCUUUGUAAUUUACUUGACUCUUGCAUUUCAUAUUCUCUAGGAUAGUUUACAAGUGUUAAAACAGCUUAUUCUAUGGUUGUCAUGAUAAGAAAUCAGCUUGGUUUAUAAUUCAGUGAAACAAUUUGGCAGACAUCUUUUUAUGACAUAUUUCUAUACCUCCUGGACAAGUUGUACCAAAUAAAGAUCUUGUCUAGAGUUCUUUUAUUCAAGAUCAAUAGACUAACAAAGAGUGCAGCUGUUCAAGCCUUUAAUCUACAGAAGAGCAGAGGAGCUAGCGGUGCAGGAGGAGGCCUUGCCAACACCUUGGGCUCUGGAGAGAGGAUAACAAAGAUCAUCUUCACUCUGAUGAAUCUGUCUGUUUUCUAAAUCGCUCUUGGGCAAAAUGGCUUCAACAGCUGCCCAGGAAUGUUGAGGAUCAUGGACUGAAGAUGGA